This 220-nucleotide unclassified non-coding RNA is filed under the name soil metagenome. Its description in RNAcentral is "partial contains 5.8S ribosomal RNA, internal transcribed spacer 2, and large subunit ribosomal RNA". The record is from RNAcentral.
AACCUAGCACACCUGCGGUGUGUACCUGCGGAAGGAUCAUUAUCGAGUUACCACUCUAUAACCCUUUGUGAACAUACCUACAUGUUGCUUCGGCGGUCGGCCCCCCGGGCCCCCGGCCCCGCUCACGCGGGGCGUCCGCCGGAGGAUAACCAAACUCUGAUUUAACGACGUUUCUUCUGAGUGGCACAAGCAAAUAAUCAAAACUUUUAGCAACGGAUCU